This 373-nucleotide ribosomal RNA is filed under the name uncultured prokaryote. Its description in RNAcentral is "bacterial SSU rRNA". It matches the Rfam family "Bacterial small subunit ribosomal RNA", at positions 524 to 896 of the family's 1533-position model. The record is from RNAcentral.
UACGGAGGGGGCUAGCGUUGUUCGGAAUCACUGGGCGUAAAGCGUGCGUAGGCGGCCAUUCAAGUCAGAGGUGAAAGCCCAGGGCUCAACCCUGGAACUGCCUUUGAAACUAGAUGGCUGGAACACGGGAGAGGUGAGUGGAAUUCCGAGUGUAGAGGUGAAAUUCGUAGAUAUUCGGAAGAACACCAGUGGCGAAGGCGGCUCACUGGACCGUUGUUGACGCUGAGGCACGAAAGCGUGGGGAGCAAACAGGAUUAGAUACCCUGGUAGUCCACGCCGUAAACGAUGAUAACUAGCUGUUGGGGCUCUUUGAGCUCCAGUGGCGCAGCUAACGCAUUAAGUUAUCCGCCUGGGGAGUACGGCCGCAAGGUUA